CAGUCGCCGCGGUAAUACGGAGGGUGCAAGCGUUAAUCGGAAUUACUGGGCGUAAAGCGCACGCAGGCGGUCUGACAAGUCAGAUGUGAAAUCCCCGGGCUUAACCUGGGAACUGCAUUUGAAACUGUCAGGCUGGAGUCUUGUAGAGGGGGGUGGAAUUCCAGGUGUAGCGGUGAAAUGCGCAGAGAUCUGGAGGAAUACCGGUGGCGAAGGCGGCCCCCUGGACAAAGACUGACGCUCAGGUGCGAAAGCGUGGGGAGCAAACAGGAUUAGAUACCCCGGUAGUCCCUGUCUCUUAUAC
RNAcentral lists this ribosomal RNA (301 nucleotides) under uncultured bacterium. RNAcentral's name for it is "partial 16S ribosomal RNA". It matches the Rfam family "Bacterial small subunit ribosomal RNA", at positions 509 to 807 of the family's 1533-position model. The record is from RNAcentral.